GGGCAGCUCCCGCUCACACCCGCAGAGGCCGCUGUUCCCCUUUGUCCUUGGUUCUCCCGGGGACCCGGACUUUAGGGCGCCGGGGUCAUGACCCGCGCCUGCGCAGAGUCCCCGCCUCGCUCUCUCCGGGGUCUCUGGAUCCAGGGGCCACGUGGGGAGCAAGUCAGAAAAUAGCCUCGGUCCGGGAGGGGAAGAGCCUCGGUUUCGGGCACAAAGAAACCACGGCUGUUGUUCGGGGCCUGCUUGGCUUGGAGCCAAACGCUUGUCUCUGUUUGGGCCGGAGAUUCCCGCCUCCCCGAGGGAUUUUUUUAACGAGGUGAAGCCGGCCCUUCUCCCGCCUCUUUGCUUGCGGAGCCACAAUUCCUGAAUGGGCGCGGGCUGCGGCAAACUGAGGCCCGGGAAAGACCUUAGCUCAGAAGGGCCAAGUCUGCCCCCGACCCGCAUCUUGGGUUUGUUGAUACAGAACUUUGUGGGCAAGAGGAAGUCCUGACUUUUCAGUGCCUUGUCCAGAUUUGCCACAACUUUGUCUUUUAAUUUCACGGUUGCCAUGAUUUCCAUAUUGUUUGAUUCUAAAGAAAACAACCUUUUUCAACGACUCAGAAGGUGACUUACGACUCUCGCCAUAGUCCAAGUGCUCAGUGAUAAGAGCCUGUACCACGUGGGGGGCUGUGUCAGAGGAGAAAGGGGAUAGGAAUCAUCUACGGCUUUGGGCUGGUUUGUCAGAUGGACAAAUAAUUCUAAUAUUUGAAGCCAGUGGAGUCAUGACUUGUGACGUGAUAUACUGAGUGUCCUCUUCUGGUUCCAACUGAGAGUGUAAUGUGUGUACCCGGUGCUCAUGGUGCAGGUGAAUCUGGCUGUGGUUUCAAGAGAUACAGAGACUGAGGGAAGCUGAGUCAGCACCGUCUGGAAGGAGGAAGCUGGAGAAAUGAUCCACAAAGGAAGCAAGGGAAAGGUAGCAGCAAAGAAUAGGGUUCUUGUGACUAGUCCUGACCUGAGCGGAGUGUGAACAGUAAGAGGCAGACAAGAGACCAGGCUAUGGUGCAGGGAGUCCCAAGAACUCUACUCUCCAAAGAGCACACAGAGAGGCCAGAGCUUUUUUAGGCCCCUGCUAUUCUUUCUCUGAAACCCUGUGAUGGUCUCUGGAGAAGAAUCUCGGCCCAGAACUGUCAAGUGUGCAGCUUCCUGCCAGGAGGAUCCAAUAAUAGACUCAAGGAAUGAAUGGACAAAUAAGUACUAUUAAACCACUAAUUCAACUAUUUGUGUCCCUGUCAAUGUUAAGAAUGGAUCCCCUAAAAUCCUGCUUUGUUCAUCAGGGAAAGAACACUAGGAAGGUCAUUUUAUUUAACCAGAGUCCUACAGCUAUUAAGCGCCUGGGGCUGGUUUUGAGAUCAGCCUUUCUUGACUCCUGUUCCAGUGCUCGGUCCAUGACUGCACAAAGCUGCCAGGAGCGAGGUUCUCUUCCAUGAAAGGACUUGACUCUUUAUUGCCAGAAUUUCUUUUGACAGAAAUGGAGACCCAGCCCUUUGGAAAGGACUUUGAACAAACAUGGCCACGUGACUUGUGCCAGAGGAGUUGGAAGCAGGGGCUGGGGUGGUCUCUGGCCUCGGGCCACUUGUUGGGCCUUCGGUGACAUCUGGCCUGAUGUUUCAGACUUGAAGGAGGGCUUUGGGGUCUUUUGGGGUCAUAAUUAUCAAAGGGAAAAUGACAAGAUUUAUAAGGGAAUAACAGAUGUCCAGAAAUAUCUACACACACAGAGAUACAUAUAAAGCUUUAUUUCUUCAAAAUGUUUUUUAA
Sarcophilus harrisii (Tasmanian devil) is the source of this 1794-nucleotide long non-coding RNA. The record is from Ensembl. Lineage: Eukaryota; Metazoa; Chordata; Mammalia; Dasyuromorphia; Dasyuridae.